Molecule: Y RNA, 101 nt
Filed under: Macaca nemestrina (pig-tailed macaque)
Lineage: Eukaryota; Metazoa; Chordata; Mammalia; Primates; Cercopithecidae
Description: Y RNA (ENSMNEG00000008898.1)
Rfam family: Y RNA
About the family: Y RNAs are components of the Ro ribonucleoprotein particle (Ro RNP), in association with Ro60 and La proteins. The Y RNAs and Ro60 and La proteins are well conserved, but the function of the Ro RNP is not known. In humans the RNA component can be one of four small RNAs -- hY1, hY3, hY4 and hY5.
Source: Rfam by way of RNAcentral
GGCUGGUCUGAGUGCAGUGGUGUUUACAACUAAUGAUUACAGUCAGUUACAGAUGUCUUUGUUUCUUCUCCACUCCCACUGCUAAUACUGAUUAGCCUUAA